This 2902-nucleotide ribosomal RNA is filed under the name Escherichia marmotae. RNAcentral's name for it is "Bacterial large subunit ribosomal RNA". It matches the Rfam family "Bacterial large subunit ribosomal RNA". The record is from RNAcentral. Lineage: Bacteria; Pseudomonadati; Pseudomonadota; Gammaproteobacteria; Enterobacterales; Enterobacteriaceae.
GUUAAGCGACUAAGCGUACACGGUGGAUGCCCUGGCAGUCAGAGGCGAUGAAGGACGUGCUAAUCUGCGAUAAGCGUCGGUAAGGUGAUAUGAACCGUUAUAACCGGCGAUUUCCGAAUGGGGAAACCCAGUGUGAUCCGUCACACUAUCAUUAACUGAAUCCAUAGGUUAAUGAGGCGAACCGGGGGAACUGAAACAUCUAAGUACCCCGAGGAAAAGAAAUCAACCGAGAUUCCCCCAGUAGCGGCGAGCGAACGGGGAGGAGCCCAGAGCCUGAAUCAGUAUGUGUGUUAGUGGAAGCGUCUGGAAAGGCGUGCGAUACAGGGUGACAGCCCCGUACACAAAAACGCACAUGCUGUGAGCUCGAUGAGUAGGGCGGGACACGUGGUAUCCUGUCUGAAUAUGGGGGGACCAUCCUCCAAGGCUAAAUACUCCUGACUGACCGAUAGUGAACCAGUACCGUGAGGGAAAGGCGAAAAGAACCCCGGCGAGGGGAGUGAAAAAGAACCUGAAACCGUGUACGUACAAGCAGUGGGAGCCUCUUUAAUGGGGUGACUGCGUACCUUUUGUAUAAUGGGUCAGCGACUUAUAUUCUGUAGCAAGGUUAACCGAAUAGGGGAGCCGAAGGGAAACCGAGUCUUAACUGGGCGUUAAGUUGCAGGGUAUAGACCCGAAACCCGGUGAUCUAGCCAUGGGCAGGUUGAAGGUUGGGUAACACUAACUGGAGGACCGAACCGACUAAUGUUGAAAAAUUAGCGGAUGACUUGUGGCUGGGGGUGAAAGGCCAAUCAAACCGGGAGAUAGCUGGUUCUCCCCGAAAGCUAUUUAGCUAGCGCCUCGUGAAUUCAUCUCCGGGGGUAGAGCACUGUUUCGGCAAGGGGGUCAUCCCGACUUACCAACCCGAUGCAAACUGCGAAUACCGGAGAAUGUUAUCACGGGAGACACACGGCGGGUGCUAACGUCCGUCGUGAAGAGGGAAACAACCCAGACCGCCAGCUAAGGUCCCAAAGUCAUGGUUAAGUGGGAAACGAUGUGGGAAGGCCCAGACAGCCAGGAUGUUGGCUUAGAAGCAGCCAUCAUUUAAAGAAAGCGUAAUAGCUCACUGGUCGAGUCGGCCUGCGCGGAAGAUGUAACGGGGCUAAACCAUGCACCGAAGCUGCGGCAGCGACACUAUGUGUUGUUGGGUAGGGGAGCGUUCUGUAAGCCGUUGAAGGUGUGCUGUGAGGCAUGCUGGAGGUAUCAGAAGUGCGAAUGCUGACAUAAGUAACGAUAAAGCGGGUGAAAAGCCCGCUCGCCGGAAGACCAAGGGUUCCUGUCCAACGUUAAUCGGGGCAGGGUGAGUCGACCCCUAAGGCGAGGCCGAAAGGCGUAGUCGAUGGGAAACAGGUUAAUAUUCCUGUACUUGGUGUUACUGCGAAGGGGGGACGGAGAAGGCUAUGUUGGCCGGGCGACGGUUGUCCCGGUUUAAGCGUGUAGGCUGAUUUUCCAGGCAAAUCCGGAGAAUCAAGGCUGAGGCGUGAUGACGAGGCACUACGGUGCUGAAGCAACAAAUGCCCUGCUUCCAGGAAAAGCCUCUAAGCAUCAGGUAACAUCAAAUCGUACCCCAAACCGACACAGGUGGUCAGGUAGAGAAUACCAAGGCGCUUGAGAGAACUCGGGUGAAGGAACUAGGCAAAAUGGUGCCGUAACUUCGGGAGAAGGCACGCUGAUAUGUAGGUGAAGCGACUUGCUCGUGGAGCUGAAAUCAGUCGAAGAUACCAGCUGGCUGCAACUGUUUAUUAAAAACACAGCACUGUGCAAACACGAAAGUGGACGUAUACGGUGUGACGCCUGCCCGGUGCCGGAAGGUUAAUUGAUGGGGUCAGCCGCAAGGCGAAGCUCUUGAUCGAAGCCCCGGUAAACGGCGGCCGUAACUAUAACGGUCCUAAGGUAGCGAAAUUCCUUGUCGGGUAAGUUCCGACCUGCACGAAUGGCGUAAUGAUGGCCAGGCUGUCUCCACCCGAGACUCAGUGAAAUUGAACUCGCUGUGAAGAUGCAGUGUACCCGCGGCAAGACGGAAAGACCCCGUGAACCUUUACUAUAGCUUGACACUGAACAUUGAGCCUUGAUGUGUAGGAUAGGUGGGAGGCUUUGAAGUGUGGACGCCAGUCUGCAUGGAGCCGACCUUGAAAUACCACCCUUUAAUGUUUGAUGUUCUAACGUGGACCCGUGAUCCGGGUUGCGGACAGUGUCUGGUGGGUAGUUUGACUGGGGCGGUCUCCUCCUAAAGAGUAACGGAGGAGCACGAAGGUUGGCUAAUCCUGGUCGGACAUCAGGAGGUUAGUGCAAUGGCAUAAGCCAGCUUGACUGCGAGCGUGACGGCGCGAGCAGGUGCGAAAGCAGGUCAUAGUGAUCCGGUGGUUCUGAAUGGAAGGGCCAUCGCUCAACGGAUAAAAGGUACUCCGGGGAUAACAGGCUGAUACCGCCCAAGAGUUCAUAUCGACGGCGGUGUUUGGCACCUCGAUGUCGGCUCAUCACAUCCUGGGGCUGAAGUAGGUCCCAAGGGUAUGGCUGUUCGCCAUUUAAAGUGGUACGCGAGCUGGGUUUAGAACGUCGUGAGACAGUUCGGUCCCUAUCUGCCGUGGGCGCUGGAGAACUGAGGGGGGCUGCUCCUAGUACGAGAGGACCGGAGUGGACGCAUCACUGGUGUUCGGGUUGUCAUGCCAAUGGCACUGCCCGGUAGCUAAAUGCGGAAGAGAUAAGUGCUGAAAGCAUCUAAGCACGAAACUUGCCCCGAGAUGAGUUCUCCCUGAGACUUUAAGUCUCCUGAAGGAACGUUGAAGACGACGACGUUGAUAGGCCGGGUGUGUAAGCGCAGCGAUGCGUUGAGCUAACCGGUACUAAUGAACCGUGAGGCUUAACC